UAAUAAGUGUUUUAUGGCACUUUUUAAAUCCAUAUCCACCUUGUGUGCAAUGUAAGUCGUUUUCUUCAUGGAAACGACCAAACAUCAACUUAUUUUUUAACUGUUUGUCUGAAAAAUAUUAUGAAUAAAUAAUUCAAAAUA
RNAcentral lists this unclassified non-coding RNA (141 nucleotides) under uncultured fungus. Its description in RNAcentral is "sequence contains ITS1, 5.8S rRNA gene". Lineage: Eukaryota; Fungi. The record is from RNAcentral.